UAGAGUUUGAUCCUGGCUCAGGAUGAACGCUGGCGGCGUGCCUAAUACAUGCAAGUCGGACGAGGGUUAUUGUCGUAAGAUGAUAAUUCCGAGUGGCGAACGGGUGAGUAACACGUAGGUGACCUGCCCCGGAGAGGGGGAUAACGGCUCGAAAGGGCUGCUAAUACCCCAUUCUGCUCACAGAGGCUAGAGGCUCAGUGAGGAAAGGUGAAGACGCUCCGGGAGGGGCCUGCGGCCCAUCAGGUAGUUGGUGAGGUAACGGCCCACCAAGCCGAAGACGGGUAGGGGGCCUGAGAGGGUGGUCCCCCACACGGGCACUGAGAGACGGGCCCGACUCCUACGGGAGGCAGCAGUAAGGGAUAUUGCGCAAUGGGCGAAAGCCUGACGCAGCAACGCCGCGUGCCCGAGGAAGGCCUUCGGGUCGUAAAGGGCUUUUAGGGCUGAAGAGCAAGGACGGUAAGCCCGGAAGAAGUGUCGGCUAACUACGUGCCAGCAGCCCCGGUCAA
Molecule: ribosomal RNA, 506 nt
Filed under: uncultured bacterium
Lineage: Bacteria
Description: bacterial SSU rRNA
Rfam family: Bacterial small subunit ribosomal RNA
Source: RNAcentral